Molecule: ribosomal RNA, 1546 nt
Filed under: Ortholinea auratae
Lineage: Eukaryota; Metazoa; Cnidaria; Myxozoa; Bivalvulida; Ortholineidae
Description: SSU rRNA
Rfam family: Eukaryotic small subunit ribosomal RNA
Source: RNAcentral
CAGUUAUAAUCUAUUUGAUUGUCUUCCCCAUUGGAUAACCGUGGGAAAUCUAGAGCUAAUACAUGCAGUUAAUUGAAAGGGGUCAAAGCCUUUCAAAGCAUUUAUUGGAUCAAUACCAACUAUAGUAGUGCGGGCAACUGUGCUACUAUAAGGUGAAUCUAGAUAACUUUGCUGAUCGUAUGGCCUUGUGCCGGCGACAUUUCAAUUGAAUUUCUGCCCUAUCAACUUGUUGGUAAGGUAGUGGCUUACCAAGGUUACAACGGGUAACGGGGAAUCAGGGUUCGAUUCCGGAGAGGGAGCCUGAGAAAUGGCUACCACAUCCAAGGGAGGCAGCAGGCGCGCAAAUUACCCAAUCCAGAUUCUGGGAGGUGGUGACGAGAAAUACUAGAUGGCUUCCUAAACGGAUGUCAUACUGGAAUGGACGUAAUUUAAGAAAUUCGAUGAGUAACAACUGGAGGGCAAGUCUGGUGCCAGCAGCCGCGGUAAUUCCAGCUCCAGUAGUGUAUCUUAAAGUUGCUGCGUUUAAAACGCUCGUAGUUGGAUUACGCAGCAUAGAUUAGUCGAUUGGCAUGAUAUUGCACUCAAUCCAGCUGGUCUUAUUUUUGCCUAUGGUAUAUCCUAGGUAAAGGUCUGAUUAGUUGGAGCGGUACGUGUCGAUUAACAGCUAGUUUAUGCUACUUUUUCGUGAGGAUGGCAGUUGACCUUUAAUGCGUUGAUUGUUGUGUCUCACGAAGUGUGCCUUGAAUAAAUCAGAGUGCUCAAAGCAGGCUUUAGCUUGAAUGUUGAUAGCAUGGAACGAACAAUUGUGAUCUAGUGCUUUAAGAGACCAUUUGAGUGGGUUUAUAUUCGCUCAGAUGUGUAGCUUGAAACACAGCACCAACCGCCAUUUACGGAUGUUGGUUUCCGUGAUGGGGUGAUGAUUAAAAGGAGCGGUUGGGGGCAUUGGUAUUUUGCCGCGAGAGGUGAAAUUCUUGGACCGGCAAAGGACUAACAAAUGCGAAGGCAUCUGUCAAGACCGUUUCCAUUAAUCAAGAACGAUAGUGAGAGGUUCGAAGACGAUCAGAUACCGUCCUAGUUCUCASUGUAAACUAUGCCGACCCGGGAUCAGUUUCGAGCUUGAAAUGCUCGUGGUUGGUCCCCCUGGGAAACCUCAAGUUUUUAGGUUACGGGGGGAGUAUGGUUGCAAGGCUGAAACUUAAAGGAAUUGACGGAAGGGCACCACCAGGGGUGGAGCCUGCGGCUUAAUUUGACUCAACACGGGAAAACUCACCUGGUCCGGACAUCGAAAGGAUAGACAGACUGAUAGAUCUUUCUUGAUACGGUGGUUGGUGGUGCAUGGCCGUUCUUAGUUCGUGGAGUGAUCUGUCAGGUUGAUUCCGGUAACGGACGAGACCAUGGUUUUCAUUUAUGGUACUGGGGAAGGCUAUGAUGAAGCUGGCAACAGUGGAGUCAUAGCUGCUGGUAGAAUAUGCUUUUGUUGCUUCUAGUUUUAUGUGACGCUUGACCUAUGUCUUGUGAAGCUUGGAAUUAGUUGUGAUUAUAGGGU